UGGGCUUUUGGGUCAGACACCGCCUGGAGGCGCAAUGUCAGGGGCACUGGAGAGGGGGGCGCUAUGUGACGGCAUCAGCGUCGCCUGUACCCAUCACGACACCUGAACCACCACGACUGCGCCAACCACAGCUGGACAACUGACCCCUGAGAGCUCGGGAGCAGGAUUCACGGCGGCUGUUUGAGCCACAAUGAUGACUGACGACAUCGGCUUGUGUGCAUUUCUGGUAAGGUAUCCAAGGUGAGGUGGCGGUCAUUAGGAACAAGGAGCGAGUAGUAAGCUGGAACUUGAGCAGGUGGCAUGGCUCGGCGGCGUGGCUGGAGCUCUCAGCGAGACGGGGAAGGCACGGAAGGAAAACUGGAGACGCAGAAGAACAAAAUCAGAUGAGUACAGAUGAGGGUUAUAGGAUGAUAAUAUCGUGUCACAAAACCAGUAGGAGAGUCGGCCAGUGAGUCCAAAACAAGCAUCAAGACUCUGGCGAAGGCUGUAGAACUUGAUGGGUUUUACAGGUAGCAAUCAGUGCUGCCUGAUUGCACGAGGAGAGGGCGAGAUGAGAGACACGGCGCCACCCAAGUUCCAAAAGAGGAAAUGCAGGCCAUGGACCAUCACAGUACCAGUAACAACAGACACCUCCAA
Long non-coding RNA from Syngnathoides biaculeatus (alligator pipefish), 636 nucleotides. RefSeq lists it as uncharacterized. The record is from RefSeq and is a predicted model, not a curated record. The transcript has 3 exons. NCBI's taxonomy places the organism in Eukaryota, Metazoa, Chordata, Actinopteri, Syngnathiformes, Syngnathidae.